Molecule: long non-coding RNA, 1784 nt
Organism: Capra hircus (goat)
Lineage: Eukaryota; Metazoa; Chordata; Mammalia; Artiodactyla; Bovidae
Exons: 6
Source: RefSeq, a predicted model, not a curated record
AAUCCGCUGGAAGCUCUGGAGGACAGGUGCUUGUUGUCUAAUGUUACGCAGCUCUCCUCUCAACUUACCGCCCCAGGAAAGGAAUUUUCGCCAGAGCAGGAGGGAGCUGAGGAAGUCUGGGCAAUCCACGACAAACCAUCUGAAAUCAGUUUCGCAGGCAGCGGAAUAAACACCUAGCCAGACGUUACGUUGCUUUUCAGAGAGUCUGCCAUGAAUGUGAGCUGACUUGUGAUCAAGGCACCUCAACAACUGAGUGAGUCCUCUGACCAACAAGGACAAACUAAGGACUUCAGUCCAACAUCCUGUGAAGAGUCACAUCCUAUCAGCAACCAGAUAAGUGAUUCCAAGAAAACAGAUGCUCCUUUCCAUAAACCCUUAGUUGAGAAGACAGCCCUGGCCAAAAUUUGAUCACAGACAUGUAUGAGACCUUGGAACAGAGACACUCAGCAAAGCAGCACCCACAGAAACUAUCAGUGACCACGAAAGAAGCAAAUUGACUCAGAGCUCUUUACUCUAAGACUUUCUCCUUGACCACUGACCUGUGUGUCUCUGAGCUCUAGCAGAGACAGUGAGCUCCAGCAGCUCAACGAAAUUGGAAGGAUUAUAAAGGGCCGGCCGUAUCGGACACGGAGCAAGGAAUCCACGGAGCAUCAAUUAGCUGCAACAUGCCGAUUAAGAGGGAUCCAGUGCUUCUCUGACUCUGCCAACAUCUGCAGCCGCCCGUGCCCAUGAGAGAGGCACCCGAGACAGAGAUUCAUCAAGCCAGAGAACGUCAAGGCUAUGUUCUCAUGCUGAAGGGGUCUUAGCAAGUAUCUGUUCCUUUCCCAGAGAAGGAGCUCUGGAGAGUCAAAGAUCUCCUUUGCUGUGUUUCCACAACACCUGGAAGAGCAGUUUCCACAGAGUGAAGACGUUGAUGAGAAGGCAAGAAGACUGCUCAGAACUCUUUAGGAAAGAAUAAAUCAAACCAACAUCUACAGAGAAUAAAGUCCGCAGCAGAAGGAAAGCAGAAGGGAAGGAGUUUUCAAAGAUGCGCAGCACAACAGCAGCCAGAAACAAGAGCUCCAGUCUGAUCAAGGGAGGUACAAACAGAAAAAGCAGCUCAAGUGAUCCUUGCUCACUUCUGAGGCCUCGAGUGGGUCCCAGAACCAGGAAAAUGUGAAUACCUGGUACAUUUCUCCGAAGCUGAUCAGACAUGCCAGAGACUGUAGAGCUACACCUCCUGAAAAUAACGAAGAUGAGGAGAAUAUGUUGGGAGUAACUAGUAAGACUUUGCUCAGGUUAGAGAAAAGCCAAGGUGUUUACAAGACAAGAAACGAAUGUAUUUGAAGGGCUCAAAUUAAACUCCUUCCAUGUAGCAGAGUCAGCAAUCACUUUCAGUACAGGGCCAGAUAGUAAAUAUUUUCAACUUUGUGAACCACAUGAAGUCUUAGUCAUAUGUUUUUCUUUUGUGUGUGUGUGUGUUUUGCCGCACUUUAAAAAUGUAGAAAACAUCCUUAGCUCACGUGAUAUACAAAAGGAAGUCUUGGCCCACAGACCAUAGUCUGCUGACUUUGAGCAAUGGCGUACUGUAGGAGGUGACAGCCAGGUGUCUUUUACAAAAUUGCAUAAAUUUACAUAAAUUAAUGGGACAGGUAUAUAUGUCUGCAUUUCAAGUCAUCUCAAAACCACACUCCCUGUCAUUUUAAAUAAUGCAAUCACUGGGGAUGAUUCAUGCAUAUGUGCCACUACUUAUAAACUGGAUUUUUCACCAACCAAAGUGGUAAGUGUUGAAAGUAGGACUCAUA